RNAcentral lists this ribosomal RNA (440 nucleotides) under uncultured bacterium. Its description in RNAcentral is "partial 16S ribosomal RNA". It matches the Rfam family "Bacterial small subunit ribosomal RNA", at positions 338 to 795 of the family's 1533-position model. The record is from RNAcentral.
CCUACGGGAGGCAGCAGUGGGGGAUAUUGCACAAUGGGGGAAACCCUGAUGCAGCGACGCCGCGUGGGUGAAGAAGCGCCUCGGCGCGUAAAGCCCUGUCAGCAGGGAAGAAAAUGACGGUACCUGAAGAAGAAGCCCCGGCUAACUACGUGCCAGCAGCCGCGGUAAUACGUAGGGGGCAAGCGUUAACCGGAUUUACUGGGUGUAAGGGGGGCGCAGACGGCGAUGCAAGCCAGGAGUGAAAGCCCGGGGCCACACCCCGGGACUGCUCUUGGAACUGCUUGGCUGGAGUGCAGGAGGGGCAGGCGGAAUUCCUGGUGUAGCGGUGAAAUGCGUAGAUAUCAGGAGGAACACCGGUGGCGAAGGCGGCCUGCUGGACUGCAACUGACGUUGAGGCCCGAAAGCGUGGGGAGCAAACAGGAUUAGAUACCCCAGUAGUC